RNAcentral lists this ribosomal RNA (452 nucleotides) under Ucides cordatus. Its description in RNAcentral is "partial 16S ribosomal RNA". It matches the Rfam family "Bacterial large subunit ribosomal RNA", at positions 1859 to 2548 of the family's 2925-position model. Lineage: Eukaryota; Metazoa; Arthropoda; Malacostraca; Decapoda; Ocypodidae. The record is from RNAcentral.
CUGCCCACUGAUAAUAGUGUUUUAAAGGGCCGCGGUAAUUUGACCGUGCAAAGGUAGCAUAAUCGUUAGUUUUUUAAUUGGAAUCUUGUAUGAAUGGUUUGACAAAAGAAAAUCUGUCUCUAUCUUUUUCUUUGAAUUUAACUUUUAAGUGAAAAGGCUUAAAUAGUUUAAAAAGACGAUAAGACCCUAUAAAGCUUUAUAAAUUGUUUGUUAUUAAGCUGAAUUGGUAAAUAAUAGUUUAGUAAGGGAAGUUUAUUUUAUUGGGGCGAUAGUGGUAAAAUGUUUAUUAACUGUUAAAAUUUUAAGACAAAUAUAGUUGAGUAAAGUUGUAUAAAUUGAUCCUGAAAUACAGAUUAAAAGUUUAAGUUACUUUAGGGAUAACAGCGUUAUUUUUUUUGAGAGUUCAUAUCGAAAAAAAAGUUUGCGACCUCGAUGUUGAAUUAAAAUGUCUG